This 326-nucleotide ribosomal RNA is filed under the name uncultured bacterium. RNAcentral describes it as "bacterial SSU rRNA". It matches the Rfam family "Bacterial small subunit ribosomal RNA", at positions 32 to 331 of the family's 1533-position model. The record is from RNAcentral.
AAUCAACGCUGGCGGCGUGCCUCAGACAUGCAAGUCGAACGCGAAAGGCCCCUUCGGGGCCGGAGUAGAGUGGCGCACGGGUGAGUAACACGUAGGUAAUCUACCUUUGGGUGGGGAAGUAACUCAGGGAAACUUGAGCUAAUACCGCGUAAUGCAGCGGCUCGACAUCGAGACAGUUGUUAAAGCGGGGGCGUCUCGCAAGAGACCUCGCGCCUGAAGAGGAGCCUGCGGCAGAUUAGCUAGUUGGUGAGGUAAUGGCUCACCAAGGCGACGAUCUGUAACCGGCCUGAGAGGGCGGUCGGUCACACUGACACUGACAUACGGGU